CUCUGUCCUUCUCACACUCACACCUCCUCCUAAACUGGAAUUGUUGCUCUGUGGCUCAUCCCCAUCCCAGUGCCCCUCCUCUCCUUCCAGCCAGACCCCCAGGGAGGCACGGCUCACUCCCGAGCUCGUUACUCAGAAAUUCUGGAACGGAAACAGCUCUGGGAAGGCACAGCCAGGAAAGCAAAGCAAGGCAACACAGCAGCAAUCAGUGAGGUGAUCUCUGAAAGCAAACAGGAGCUCCUGGGAUUCUUUCAAUUAGCUGGUUCGAGGAAAAUCUUUGGGCAGAGGCAACAAAAGUUGUCUUUUGCAACUUGAAUAAAUUCACUCUGCUCCUCACAGGAGGGUGGAGAAUGGGAGUCCAGGCAGUUGCUUCCCAGCUGGAGUACAGAGGAGAGUCCUGGAUGCCCAAGGAAAUGCUCCACACACUUGAAGGACACACUGGAUCCAUGGCAACUUUCCAGGCUGUUCCAAAGGACACGGAAAGGGGCAAAUUCCAGAGGUCAGGAUGGCCGAGCGGUCUAAGGCGCUGCGUUCAGGUCGCAGUCUCCCCUGGAGGCGUGGGUUCGAAUCCCACUCCUGACAACUUGUUUGCUGCCCAGACUCAUCCCAGAGGGAAUUCUGCCUCCCAGUGUAGGAGGCAUUCCCAGGAAUCUCCCUGGUUCUUGUCCAGCCCUUGGAUUGGUGCCUACUAUUGGUUGUUCAGGUUGACAGUGAUGAGGUCAAAGAGAGAAGUCUCUCCCACCUGAUUAAUCCCUGGAUCAGAGAGAAUUUUGGCUUUUUCCCUCCUACCUGAUUAACUCCUGGCUCAGAUGGAAUUUUGGUUUUUUCCCUCCCAUGUGACUCACACCUGGAUCAGGUGGAAUUUUGGCUUUUUCCUUCCCACUUGAUUAACUCUUGGCUCAGAUGGAAAUUUAGCUUUUUCCCUCCCACCUGAUUCACAUCUGGCUCAGAUGGAAUUUUGGCUAUUUCCCUUCUACCUGAUUCACACCUGGCUCAGGCGGAAUUUUGGCUUUUUCCCUCCCACCUGAUUAACACUUGGAUCAGGUGGAAUCUUGGCUUUUUCCUUCCCACCUGAUUUAACUCCUGGCUCAGGUGGAAUUUUGGCUUUUUGGAUCACCAAAUCUGCUGGUGGCAGCUGGGUUUCGCCAUCUCAAAGUGGGAAAAGGAUUCUGUCCCAUGAGUUGGGGGUUGACUGUGAGGGCUUUAAACCAGGUUUGAAGGGGAAGGGGAUAAAACCAGGCUUGCUAGAGAUGGGCCUAAGGACAGCAUGCCAGUGUGGGGCUUGAAAUCCAUCUGCUUGUGGGAAGGAAGGACCUACAGAGGGAUCUGGACAGGCUGGAUUGAUGGGCUGAGUGUUCCAAAAAUGAGGAGAUGUGGCACUUCCCUACGUGGUUGAGUGUGAAGGUUGAGAGACUGAACCUGAUGAUCUUGGAGCUCUUUCCCAAACUUAAUGAUUCUACGAUUCCCUGAAGCACAGAAAUCCUCUUCCAACCUAAACAAGGUUAAGCUGCAGCAGUUCGAGGCAGAACAAUCCUUUUUUGAAUAUUUUUUUCCUGAUGAGUCUGUGGCUUUAAACUUUUAUGCUGCAAGUUCUUUGAGAUGAUGUCUUUUAUUUUGAUAGUCUUUUAUACAGCACUGCAGUGUCAGUGUGCUGCUGAUGAUGGAAAUAUUACCCUCUUCUGUCAGAGCAGUGACUAUCAGCUGUAACUGCUCGGUUGCUCUUUCACAAGCUCUUUUCUGGUCAUUGCAGUCAAGCCCCAGGGCCUGGAUUUCUCCCACCACUCAUUUCCCAAACCAGUGGCAAGUCCUUGAGAUCCUUGUGCCUCCCAGGCAAAAAGGGGAGUCCAGCAAACCGAGGUGCACAAAAAGAGCAGGAAAAGCAGAUUGUCUUGACGGACAAGGAAAUCAGACCAGGUGAAUCAUCCCAUCUUUAUUUUGUUAAUUAAAACAACCCAGCAGCACUUCAUGCAGCCUCAGGUGGCACCUCCCAUUAGGUACCAGCACCAAAGGACCUUUCCUGCUGAGGGGAAGAGAAAUUAAGAGUCCAGAGCUGACGUCAGUGAUGAAUUUCAAGCUUCAAGUGAAAAGAUGAAGUCUUCCUUUCAACUAAAGACAUCACUUUGCGGAAGGAAAGAAUGUGAAAACGAAACCACGAAGGCUGUUCCUGUGUCAUGGUCAGGACUGGUGACUCCAGCAGUGCCCUGGGCAGCCUGUUCUGAUGUUCAACCACUCUUUCAGUGAAUAUUUGCUUCCCAAAAUCCAACCUGAACCUCCCCAGCACAACUCGAGGCCCUUUUCCCACGUCCUACCAUUAAUUUCACGGCAGAAGAGGCCGAGCCUUGCCUUUAAUUAAAUAUCUCUUUGCAACAGCUCUGUCAAAAUCACAUGUUCUGGUGCAAUCAGGAAUGAGAUGUUUCUUCCCCAAAAUGCUGCUGAGCAGCCAGGAUUGAGCAUGUACCUGACUCCCACUGUGGAAUCGUGCUCGUUGAGCACAUCAAAAUAUCAAGGCAGUGUCGGUAAACUGCAGAGGAUGGUGGAGAGCAACUCCAAGCAUUUAAAAAGUCAGGAGGGAGAUGAGAUUAAAAGGAAACAAUAUGUGCAA
Long non-coding RNA from Pseudopipra pipra, 2602 nucleotides. RefSeq lists it as uncharacterized. The transcript has 3 exons. NCBI's taxonomy places the organism in Eukaryota, Metazoa, Chordata, Aves, Passeriformes, Pipridae. The record is from RefSeq and is a predicted model, not a curated record.